CCAGGAUGUACCUUGGAUCAUGCCUGAGUUGUGAGCACUGCAUCAGGACGUGUUUUGGAUCACCCUUGAGGUGUGAGCACUGCACCAGGAAUUGUCUUGGAUCAUUCCUGGGUGUGAGCACUGCACCAGGAGGUGUUUCAGGUCAUCUAUAAGGUGUGAGCACCACACCAGGAGGUUUCUUGUCUUAUGCUUGAGUGGGAGCACUGCACCAGAAGGUAUUUUGAAUCAUGCCUGAGUUGUGAGCACUGCAUCAGGAGGUGUUUUGGAUCAUCCCUGAGGCAUGAGCACUGGACCAGGAGGUCUGCUGGAUUAUCCCUGAGUUGCAAGCACUGCACCAAGAUGUGUCUUGGAUCAUGCCUGAGUGUGAGCACUGCAGCAGGAGGUAUUUUGAAUCAUGCCUGAGUUGUGAGCAUUGCAUCAGGAAGUGUUUUGGAUCUUCACUGAGGUGUGAGCACUGGACCAGGAGGUCUCAUGGAUCAUCCCUGAGUUGCGAGCAUUGCACCAGGAAGUGUCUUGGAGCAUCCCUGAGGUGGGAGCACUGCACCAGAAAGUGUCUUGCAUGUUGCAUCAUGCCUAAGGUAGGAGCACUACACCAGCAAGUGUCUUGGAUCUUUCCUGAGGUGGGAACACUUUACCAGGAGGUAUCUUGAAUCACCCCUAAGGAAAGAGCACCACACCAAAGGGGUCUUGGAUCAUCCCUGGGGAGGGAGCACUACUUCAGGAGGUGCCUUGGGUCAUCCUUGAGGUGUGAGCACUGCACAAAGAAGCAUCUUGUAUGAUGCCUGAGUGUGAGCACUGCACCAGGGGUUGUCUUGGAUCAUUCCUGAAGGUUGAGCACUGUACCAGCAGGUAUCUUGGAUCAUCUCAGAGGUGUGAGCAUUGCACCAGGAGGUGUCUUGGAUCAUUCCUGAGGUAGGAUCACUGCAUCCGGAAGUGCCUUGAAUCAUCCCUGAGGUGUGAGCACUGUAACAGAAGGUGUCUUGGAUUCUCCAUGAGGUGUGAGUCCUGCACCAGCAGGCAUCUUGAAUCAUCAGAAGAAAGAGCACUGCACCAAGAGGUGUCUUGGAUCAUCCCUGAGAUGUGAACAUUGCCCCUGCAAGUCUUAUCAUGCCUGAGGUGUGACCCAUGCACCAGGAGAUCUCUUGUAUUGAUGCUAAGGUGGGAUCACUGCACCAUGAGGUGUCUUGGAUCAAACCCGUGGUGCAGGCACUACACAAGGAGGUCUCUUGAAUCAUCCCUGAGGUGGCAGCACUACAUCAGAGGGUGUCUUGGAUCAUCCCUCAGGUGUGAACACUGCACAAGGAAAUGCCUUAAAUCAUGCCUGAGGUAUCAGCACUGCACCAGGAGGUGUCUUGCAUUAUUCCUAAGGUCAGAGCACUGCAUCGCAAUGUCUUGGAUUGUGCCUGAUCAUGUGUGACCAGCAAGUGUCUUAACUCAUCCCUGAGGAGGGAGUACUAUAACAGGGGUAUCUUGGAUUAUGCCUGAAGUGUGAGCAUGCACCAGGAGGUGUCUUGAAUCAUCCCUGAGGUGGAAGCACUGCACCAAGAGGUGUCUUGGAUCAUCCCUGUGGGUUGAGCACUACACCAGGAGGUGCUUUGGAUCAUCCCUGACGUGUGUGCACUGCACCAGGAAGUGUCUUGUAUUAUGACUGAGUGUGAACACUACACCAAGUGGUUUUUGGGAUCAUUCCUAGGUGUGACCACCACACCAGGAGGUAUCACGGAUCAUGCCAGAGUUGUAAGCACUGCAUCAGGAGAUGUUUUGGAUUAUCCCUGAGGUGUGAGCUUUGGACCAGGAGGUGUCUUGGAUCAUGCCUGAGUGUGAGCACUGCACCACAUGGUUUUUUUGGAUCAUCUGUAGGUGUGAGCACUGCACCAGGAAGUAUCUUGGAUCAUGUCUGAGUUGUGAUCACUGCGCCAGGAGGUGCCUUAAAUCAUGUCUGAGUUGUGAGCACUGCACGAAGAGGUGUUUUGGAGCAUCCUUGAGGUGUGAGCACUGCACCAGGAGGUGUUUUGGAACAUCCCUGAGGUGUGAACACUGCACCAGGAAAUGUCUGGGAUCAUCCCUGAGUGUGAGCACUGCACCAGGAGGUGUUUGGGGUCAUCCAUAAGGUGUGAGCACCACACCAGGAGGCUUGUUGUAUUAUGGCUGAGUGUGAGCACUGCACCAGGAGGUAUAUUCAAUCAUGACUAAGUUGUGAGCACUGGACCAGGAAGUGUUUUGGAUCAUCCCUGAGGUGUGAGCACUGGACCAGGAGGUCACCUGGAUCAUCCCUGAGUUGUGAGCCUGCAUCAGGUGGUUUUUUGGAUCAUACCUAGGUGUGAGCACUGCACCAGGAAGUAUCGCUGAUCAUGUCUGAGUUGUGAUCACUCACCAGGAGGUGUCUUAAAUAAUAUCUGAGUUGUGAUCACUGCACCAGAUGGUGUCUUGGAUCAUCGCUGAGGUGUGACCACUGCAGCAGGAAGUGUCUUGGAUCAUCGCUGUGGUGUGAGAACUGCACAAUGAGGUGUUUUCCAUCAUCCCUGAGGUGGGAGCACUGCACCGGGAAAUGUCUUGGAUCACCUCUGGGGAGAGAGUACAACUCCAGGAGGUGUCUUGGGUCAUCUUUGAGGUGUGAGCACACACCAAGAGGUGUCUUGGAUCAUUCCUGCAGGUUGAGCACUGUAUCAGCAGGUAUCUUGGAUCAUCUCAGAGGUGUGAGCACUGCACCAGGAGGUGUCUUGGAUCAUCCCUGAAAGUUGAGCACUGUACAAGCAGGUAUCUUGGAUCAUCUCAGAGGUGUGAGCAUUGCACCAGGAGGUGUCUUGGAUCAUCCCUGAGGUAGGAUCACUGCACUAGGAAGUGUCUUGAAUCAUCCCUGAGGUGUGAGCACAGUAACAGGAGGUGUCUUGGAUCCUCCCUGAGAUGUGAGCACUGCAGCAGGAGGUGUCUUCAAUCAUCAGAGGAAAGAGCACUACACCAAGAUAUGUCUUGGAUCACGUCUGAGGUGUGAUCGCUGUAACAAGAGGUGCCUUGAAUCAUCCCUGAGGUGUGAGCACUGUACCAAGACGUGUCUUGGAUCAUCCAGGAGGUGUGAGCACCUCACCAGGAUCAUCAUACCUGACGUGUGAACAUUUCACCCAGAAGUGGCUUAUGUCAUGCCUGAGGUGUGAUUCAUGCACCAGGAGGUGUUUUGUAUCAUCCCUGAGGUGCAGGCACUGUACCAGUAGGUCUCUUGGAUUAUGCCUAAGGUUUGAGCACUGCACCAGGAAGUGUCUUUUAUCAUCCCUGAAGUGUGAGCACUGCACAAGGAGGUGUCUUAAGUAAUCUCUGAGGUGGGAGCACUGCACAGGGAGGUGUCUUCAUUCAUCCCCCAGAAGGGACUACUGCACCAAGAGGUUUUUUGGAUAAUCCUGAGGAGGGAGCACUGCACCAGGAGGUAUCUUGGAUGAUAACUGAGUUUUAACCACUGCAGCAAGAAGUGCCUUAAAUAAUCUCUGAGGUGGAAACACUACACCAGGAGGUGUCUUGGAUCAUCCCUGAGGUGCAGACACUGCACCAGGAGGUCUGUAGGAUUAUCCCUGAGGUUUGAGCACUGCACCAGGAAGUGUCUUUUAUCAUCCCUGAGUUGGGAGCACUGCACCAGGAGGUGUAUUGGAUCAUCACUUAGGUGGAGCAUUGCACCUGCAAGUGCCUUGGAUCAUGCCUGACGUGUGAGCACUGCACCAGCAGGUGUCUUGGCUCAUCCCUGAGCAGGGAGUACUGCACGAGGAGGUGUCUUGUGUCACACCUGAGGUGUGAGCACUGUACCAGGAGGUGUCUAGGAUCAUCCCUGAAUUGUGAGAAGUGCACCAGGAGGUGUCAUGGAGCAUCCCUGAGGUGGGAGCACUGCACCAGGAAGUGGCUUGCAUGUUGCAUCAUCCCUGAGGUAGGAGCACUACACCAGCAGGUGUCUUGGAUCUUUCCAGAGGUAGGAGCACUUCACCAGGAGGUAUCUUGAAUCAACCCUAAGGUAAGAGCACUGCACCAAAGGGGUCUUGGAUCAUCCCUGGAGUGGGGGGAACACUACUCCAGGAGGUGUCUUGGGUCAUCCUUGAGGUGUGAGCACUGCACCAAAAGGUGUCUUGUAUUAUGCCUGAUUGUAUUAUGCCUGAGUGUGAGCAUUGCACUUGGGGGUGUCUUGGAUCAUUCCUGAAGUAGGAUCACUGUCUCAGGGAGUGUCUUGAAUCAUUCCUGAGGUGUAAGGAUUGUUACAGGAGAUGUCUUGAAUCAUCAGAGGAAAGACCACUACACCAAGUGGUGUCUUGGAUCAUCCCUGAGGUGUGAACUUUGCACCCGGAAGUGUCUUAUCAUGCCUGAGGUGUGACCCAUGUACCAGGAGGUCUCUUGUAUCAUCCCUGAGAUGGGAUCACACACCAUGAGGUGUCUUGGAUCAAAUCUGAGGUGCAGACGCUGCACAAGGAGGUCUCUUGAAUCAUCCCUGAGGUGGCAGCACUGCACCAGAAGGUGUAUUGGAUCAUCCCUCAGGUGUGAACACUGCACCAGGAAGUGUCUAAAAUCAUGCCUGAGGUGUCAGCACUGCACCAGGAGGUGUUUUUGAUCAUCCCUAAGGUGCAGGCACUGCACCAGGAGGUCUCUUGGAUUAUGCCUGAGGUUUGAGCACUGCAUCAGGAAGUGUCUUUUAUCAUCCCUGAUGUGUAAGCAUUGCACCAGGAGGUGUCUUGCGUCAUUCCUGAGGUGUGUACACUGCACCAGGAGUUGUUCUGCAUUAUUCCUGAGGUCGGAGCACUGCAUCACAAGUGUCUUGGAUCGUGCCUGAUGGUGCCUGACCAGCAAGUGUCUUAACUCAUCCCUGAGGAGGGAGUACUGUAACAGGUGUCUUGGAUCAUCCCUUGGAGUGCAGCACUACACCACCAGGUGCUUUGAAUCAUCUCUGAGGUGUGAGCAGUGCACCAGGAAGUGUCUUGUAUUAUGACUGAGUGUGAAUACUUCACCAGGUAGUUUUUUGGAUAAUUCCUAGGUGUGACCGCUGCACCAGGAGGUAUCUCGGAUCAUGCCAGAGUUGUGAGCACUGCAUCAGGAGAUGUUUUGGAUCAUCCCUGAGGUGUGACCACUGGACCAGGAGGUGUCUUGGAUCAUGCCUGAGUGUGAGCACUGUACCAGGUGGGUUUUUUGUAUCACCCCUAGGUGUGAGUACUGCAUCAGGAAGUACCUUUGAUCAUGUAUGAGUUGUGAUCACUGCACCAGGACAUGUCUUAAAUCAUAUCUGAGUUGUGAUCACUGCACCAAGAGGUGUUUUGGAGCAUCCCUGAGGUGUAAGCACUGCACCAAGAGGUGUCUUGGAUCAUGCCUGAGUUGUGACCACUCCACCAGGAUAUGUUUUGGAACAUACCUGAGGUGUGAGCACUGCACCAGGAGGUGUCUUAGAUUAUGCCUGAGUGUGAGCACCUCACCAGGAUGUACCUUGGAUCAUGCCUGAGUUUUGUGGGCACUGCACCAGGAUGUGUUUUGGAUAAUCCCUGAGGUGUGAGCACUGCACCAGGAAGUGUUUUGUAUUAUGCCUGAGUGUGAACACUGCACCAGGUGGUUUUUUGGAUGAUUCCUAGGUGUGACCACUGCACCAUCAUCAUGCCAGAGUUGUGAGCACUGCAUCAGGAGAUGUUUUGGAUCAUCUCUGAGGUGGGAUCACUGUACCAGGGGUGUCUUGAAUCAUCCCUGAGGGGUGAACACUGUGACAGGAGGUGUCUUGAAUCAUCCCUGAGGUAAGAGCACUGCACCAGGAGGUCUUUGGAUCAUCAUACCUGAGGUGUGAACAUUUCACCCAGAAGUGUCAUAUCAUGUCUGAGGUGUGACCCAUGCACUAGGAGGUGUUUUGUAUCAUGCCUGAGUUGUGACCACUGUACCAGAGGGUGUUUUGGAACAUCCCUGAGGUGUGAGCACUGCACCAGGUGGUGUCUUGGAUCAUCUCUGUAGUGUGAGAAUUACACAAAGAGGUGUUUUUAAUCAUCCCUGGGGUGAGAUCACUACACCAGGAAUUGUGUUGGAUCAUGCCUGAGUGUGAGCACUGCACCAGGAGGUAUUUUGAAUCAUGCCUGAGUUGUGAGCACUGCAUCAUGAGGUGUUUUGGAUCAUCCCUGAGGUGCAAGCACUGCACCAGGGGGUGUCUUGGAUCAUCCCUGAUGUGUGAGCACUGCACCAGGAGAUGUCUUGGAUCAUCCCUGAGGUGUAAGCACUGCACAAAGGACUGUCUUGUAUUAUUCCUGAGUGCAAACGCUGCACCAGGUGUCUUUUUGGCUCAUUCCUAGGUGUGACCACUGCACCAGGAGGUAUCUCAAGUCAUGCCAGAGAUGUGAGCACUGCAUUAGAAGAUGUUUUGGAUCAUCCCUAAGGUGUGAGCACUGGACCAGGAGGUCUCUUGGAUCAUCCCUGAGUUGAGAGCACUGUUCCAAGAGGUGUCUUGGAUCAUGCCUGAGUGUGAGCACUGCACCACGUGGUUUUUUUGGAUCAUCCCUAGGUGUGAGCACUGCACCAGGAGGUAUCUUGGAUCAUGUCUGAGUUGUGAUCACUGCACCAGGAGGUGUCUUAAAUCAUAUCUGAGUUGUGAGCACUGCACCAAGAGGUGUUUUGGAGCAUCCCUGAGGUGUGAGCACUGCAUGAGGUGGUGUCUUGGAUCAUCCCUGUAGUGUGAAAACUGCACAAGGAGGUAUUUUCCAUCAUCCCUAAGGUGGGAGCACUACACCAAGAAGUGUGUUGGAUAAUGCUUGAGAUGUGAGCACUGCACCAGGAGGUGUCUUAGAUCAUGCCUGAGUGUGAGCACCUCACCAGGAUGUACCUUGCAUGAUGCCUGAGUUGUGUGGGCACUGCAUCAGGAUGUGUUUUGGAUCACCCUUGAGGUGUGAGCACUGUACCAGGAAUUGUCUUGGAUCAUCCCUGAGUGUGAGCACUACACCAGGAGGUGUUUGGGGUCAUCCAUAAGGUCUCAGCACCGCACCAGGUUUCUUGUAUUAUGCCUGAGUGUGAGCACUGCACCAGGAGAUAUUUUGAAUCAUGUCUGAGUUGUGAGCACUGCAUCAGGAGGUAUUUUGGAUCAUCCCUGAGGUGUGAGCAUUGCACCAGGAGGUGUCUUGGAUCAUCCCUGAGGUGUGAACAUUGCACCCAGAAGUGUCUUAUGUCAUGCCUGCAGUGUGAGCACUGCACCAGGAUAUCUAGGAUCAUCCCUGAAUUGUGAGCACUAAACCAGGAGGUGUCUUGAUUCAUCCCUGAGGUGUGAGCACCUCACCAGGAGGUAUCUUGGAUCAUCCCUGAGAUGUGAACACCUCACCAGGAAGUGUCUUGGAUCAUGUCUGAGUUGUGAGCACUGCACCAGGACGUGUCUUAAAUCAUCUCUGAGGUUUGAGCACUACACCAGGAGGUGUCUUAAAUCAUGCUGAAAAGUGACCACUGCACCAGGAGGCAUCUUGGAUCAUGUCUCAGUUGCAACAGGAGGUGUCUUGGAUCAUCCCUGUGGUAUAAGCACUGCACCAGAAGGUGUCUUGGAUCAACCCUGGGAUGGAGGCAGUGCACCAGAAGGUGUCUUGGAUCAUCCCUGAUGUGGGAGCACUGCAUCAGGAGAUCUCUUGGAUCAUCGCUGAGGUGUGAGCACUGCACCAGGAGGUAUCUGGAAUGAUUUUUGAGGAGAGUGUAGCGCACCAGGAGGUAUCUUGGAUCUACCCUGAGGUGUGAGCACUGCAACAGGAAGUGUCUUGGAUCAUCCCUGAGGUGUGAGCACUGCAACAGGAUGUGUCCUCAAUCAUCCAUGAAGGGGGAUCACUGCACCAGGAGGUGUCUUGUAUCAUUGCUGAGGUGGAAGCACUGCACAAGGAAGUGUCUUAGAUCAACCUGACUUGUGAGCACUGCACCAGAAGGUGUCUUGGAUCAUUGCUAAGAUGCAAGCAAUGCACCAGCAGAUGUCUCAGAUCGUCCUUUAGGUGGGAGCGCUACACGAGGGGUGUCUUGGAUCAUCCCUGAGGAGGGAGCACUACACCAGGAGGUGUCUUGGAUCAUUUCUGAGGUGCAGGCACUGCAUCAUGAGGUGUCUUGGAUCGUCGCUGAAGUGUAAGCACUGCACCAGGAGGUGUUGUGAAUCAUCGCUGAGGUGUGAGCACUGCACCAGUAGGUGUCUUGGAUCAUCCUUGGGGUGUGAACAUUGCAUCAGGAGAUGUCUCAGAUCAUCCCUGAGGUGCAGGCACUGUACCAGGAGGUAUCUUGAAUCAUUUCUGAGGUGCAGGUGCUGCACCAGGUGUCUUGAAUCAGCCCUGAGGUGUGAGCACUACACCAGGAGGUGUCUUGAUUCAUCCCUGAGGUGUGAGCACUGCACCAGGUGUCUUGAUUCAUCUCUGAGGUGUGAGCACUGCACCAGGAGCUGUCUUGAAUAACUUCUGAGGUGUGACCAUUGUACCAGGAGGUGUCCUGUAUCAUCCCUGUGGAGGGAGCACUGCACCAGAAGGUGUAUUGGAUCAUCCCUGAAGUGUGAACACUACAUCAAAAGGCAUCACGAAUCAUCCCUAAGGCUUGAGCACUGCACCAGGAGGUGUCUUUGAUCAUGCCUGAGAUGUAUGCACUGCACUAGGAGGUGUUUUGGAUCAUCCCUAGGUGGGAGCACUACCCCAAGAGGAGUCUUGGAUCAUCUUUGAGGUGGGAGUACCACACCACGAGGUGUCUUGGAUCAUCCCUGAGGUGGAAGCACUGCACCAGGAGUUGUCUUGGAUCAUUCCUGAGGUGUGAGUACUGCACCAGGAGGUAUCUUGUAUCAUCCCCGAGGUCAGAGCACUACACCAGGAGAUGUUUGGAUCAAACCUGACAUGUAGGCACCGCACCAGAAGGUCUCUUGGAUGAUGCCUGAAUUGUCAGCACUGCACCAGGAAGUGUAUUUUAUCAUCCUUGAGGUCAGAACACUGCACCAGCAAGUGUCUUGGAUUCUGCCUAAGGUGUGAGCACUGCACAAGCAGUUGUCUUGGCUCAUCCCUAAGAAGGGAGUACUGUGCCAGGGGGUGUCUUGGAUUAUGCCUGAGUUGUGAGCACUGUAUCAGGAGGUGUCUUGGAUCAGCCCUGAAUUGUGAGCACUGCACAAGGAGGUGUCUUGGAUCAUCCCUGAGGUGGGAGCACUGCACCAGGAGGUGUCUUCAAUCAUCCCUGAGGUGUGAGCACUGCACCAGGAGAUGUCUUGGAUCAUCCCUGAGGUAGGAUCACUACACCAGGAGGUUUCUUGGAUCAUUUCUGAAGUGUGAGCACUGCACCACAAGGUGUCUUGAAUCAUCCCUGAGGUAGGACCACUACACUAGGAGAUGUCUUGGGUCAUCCCUGAGGUGUGAGCACUGUACCAGGAGGUGUCUUGGAUCAUCCCUGAGGUGCAGUGAUAUGGUUUGGUCAUGUCCCCACCCAAAUCUCAUCUUGAAUUGUAGCUCCCAUAAUCCCCACAUGUCAUAGAAGGGACCCUGUGGGAGGUAACUGAAUCAUGGAGGGAGUUACCUCCAUGCUGUUUUCAUGACAGUGAGUGAGUUUUCAGAUCUGAUGGUUUUAUAAGGAGCUUUUCCCCCAUUUACUUGGCACUUCUCCUUCCUGCCAUCCUGUAAAGAAGGAUGUGUUUACUUCCUUCCACUUUGAUUGUAAGUUGUUUGAGGCCUCCUCAGCCCCACAGAACUAUGAGUCAUUUAAACCUUCUUUCUUUAUAAAUUACCCAGUCUUGGGCAGUUCUUUAUAGCAGUGUGAGAUCAGACUAAUAAACACCCCCAUGAUUUAAUUACCUCCCACCAGGUCCCUCCCAUGACACAUGGGGAUUAUGAGAACUACAAUUCAAGAUGAGAUUUGGGUGGGACACAGCCAAAACAUGUUAUUCCAUUCAUGGUCCCUUUAAAAUAUGUCCUCACAUUUCAAAACACAAUUAUGUACUUCCAACAGUCCCCCAAAGUCUUAAUUCAUUCCAUCAUUAUCCCCAAAGUCCAAAUCUAAAGUCUCAUCUGAGACAAGGCAAAUUCCUUCGCCUAUGAGCCUGUAAAAUCAAAAGUGAGUUAAUUACUUCCAAGAUACAAUGGAGAUACAGGCAUUGGACAAAUACACCCAUUCCAAAUGAGAGAAAUUGGCCAAAACAAAGAGGCUCCAGGCCCCACCCAAGUCCAAAAUCCAACAGGGCAGUAACCAAACCUUAAAGUUCCAGAAUAAUCUCCUUCAACUCCAUGUCUCACAUCAGGUCACGCUGAUGCAAGAGGUGGGCUCCCAUGGCCUUGGACUGCUUCACCCCUGUGGCUUUGCUUUCACAAGAUGGCAUUGAGUGUCUGAGGCAUUUCCAGGUGCACAGUGCAAGCUGUCAGCGGAUCUACCAUUCUGGGGUCUGAAGGACGGUGGCCCUCCUCUCACAGUUCAACCGGGCAGCACCCCCAUGGGGACUCCCUGUGGGGGCUCCAAUCCCACAUCUCCCUUCUUCAAUGCCCUAGCAGAGGUUCUCCAUGAGGGCUUUGCCCCUACAGCAGACUUCUGCCUGUACAUCCAGGUAUUUCCAUACAUCCUCUGAAAUCUAAGCUGAGGUUCCCAAACCUCAAUUCUUGACUCCUGUACACCCACAGGUCCAAGACCACGUGUAAGCCACCAAGGCUUGGGGCUUGCACCCUCUGAAGCAACAGCCUGAGCUCUAUGUUGGCCCCUUGAGCCACAGCUGGAACUCACUAUCACCAAAUCCCUAUACUACACAAAGCAGCAAGGCCCUAGGCCUAGCCCGUGAAACCCUUUUUUCCUCCUAGGCCUCUGGGCCUGUGAUGGGAGGGACUGCUGUGAAGAACUCUGACAUGCCCUGGAGACAGUUUCCCCAUUGUCUUGGUGAUUAACAUUUGGCUUUUCGUUACUGAUGCAAAUUUAUCUAGCUGGCUUGAAUUUCUUCUCCAAAAAUGGGUUUUUCUUUUCUAUCGCAUCAUCAGGCUGCAAAUUUUCCUAAGUUUUAUGUUCUGGUUCCCUUUUAAACAUAAGUUUUAAUUCCAAACCAUAUAUUUGUGAGUACAUAAAACUGAAUGCUUUUAACAGCACCCAAGUCACCUCUUGAAUGCUUUGCUGCUCAGAAAUUUCUUCUGCCAGAUACCCUAAAUCAUCUCUCUCAAGUUCAAAAUUCCACAGAUCUUUAGGGCAAGGGCAAAAUACUGCCAGUCUCUUUGCUAAAAUGUAGCAAGAGUCACCUUUAUUCCAGUUCCCAAAAAGUUCUUCAUCUCCAUCUGAGACCACCUCAGCCAGGACUUCAUUGUCCACAUCACUAUCAGCAUUUUGGUCAAAACCAUUAAACAAGUCUCUAGGAAGUUCCAACUUUCCUGGAAGACAUCUUCCUGUCUUCUUCUGAGCCCUCCAAACUGUUCCAACCUCUGCCUGUUACCCAGUUCCAAAGUCACUUCCACGUUUUUUAGUAUCUUUAUAGCAGCGCCCCACUACCCAGUAUCAAUUUACUGUUUUAUUCCAUUCUCAUGCUGCUAUGAAGAACUGCCUGAGACUGGGUAAUUUAUAAAGGAAAGAGGUUUAAAUUACUCACAGUUCUGCAGGGCUGGGGACGCCUCAGGAAACUUACAAUCAUGGCAGAAAGCAAAGGGGAAGCGGGCACGUCUUCAUGUGUCUGGAGAAGGAGGAAGAGAGCAAAGAGGGAGGUGCCACACACUUUCAAACAACCAGGUCUCCUGAGAACUCAUUCACCAUCACAAGAAUGCAAGGGGGAAAUCUGCCCCCAUGAUCCAAUCACCUCCAACCAGCCCACUUCCCCAACACUGGGAAUUACAAUUCGACAUGAGAUUUGGUUGGGGACACAGAGCCAAACUAUAUCAGUGCUUAACCUCAUUUGAGUUGUCACACGCAACCAGGAGGCUUGAAUAACCCACUGCUUCCAGACUAGAUGGCUUUCUGUGUGACCCCAAGAGAGACUCCCAGCCUCUGCUGAUUCCUAUGUAAAGUAUGGGUUGGAACUGGAUGGUAUCGUAGGUUCCUUUAGCUCCGUAUGAUUCUCAUGUAAAAUUCCACCCAGCAGUCAGGCAAGAGGUGCACUGGGGAGAGGAGGUGGAACCCCCAGGUUGUUGAUAAAAUCCUGAAAUCCCUUGGCUCUGUGCUUCAAACAGCCACCUUCCCAACAUCUAUGACUCUUUGAACUGCUCAUAAAGAGCGCUGAUUAAUGUGACACUUCACAUGCCCACCAUGAAAUUAGGAAGGCCCUUAGAUCUCCUUCAAACCCGCGGUGCCGGUGCCUUCGCCCCAUCAAUCAGAGAUGAAACUGUGAUUGUGCUGCAAGGAGACGAGGCCAUCCUGGAGUUCUGCCAUGAAAGAAUCGCUGGGACUCAAAGGAGGGGAAAACAAGGGAAGGAGAGAGGGGGAAAGGGAAAGAGAAGCUGCUUCCAGAAGGAAUAAAUUUGUGUGUGUACUUUGAUCCUGCUAUGAUUUUUAUUUGUUUUAGCCAC
RNAcentral lists this long non-coding RNA (12431 nucleotides) under Homo sapiens (human). Its description in RNAcentral is "non-protein coding lnc-PER2-7:1". The record is from RNAcentral. Lineage: Eukaryota; Metazoa; Chordata; Mammalia; Primates; Hominidae.